GUCAGGAUAGCUCAGUUGGUAGAGCAGAGGACUGAAAAUCCUCGUGUC
RNAcentral lists this transfer RNA (48 nucleotides) under Triticum aestivum (bread wheat). RNAcentral's name for it is "partial tRNA-Phe". It matches the Rfam family "tRNA", at positions 1 to 46 of the family's 71-position model. Rfam says of the family: Transfer RNA (tRNA) molecules are approximately 80 nucleotides in length. RNAcentral also lists the same sequence under 2 other names. The record is from RNAcentral. Lineage: Eukaryota; Viridiplantae; Streptophyta; Magnoliopsida; Poales; Poaceae.